UAAAUGAAAAAAGAAAAAACUCAUAUAAAUCCCUAAUAUGGAGGGAUGUCUCUACAGGAAACCAAUAAAUUUCCGAGCUAUGAGUGAACUUGAUAUAUGU
Non-coding RNA from Clostridium sp. CAG:221, 100 nucleotides. NCBI's taxonomy places the organism in Bacteria, Bacillati, Bacillota, Clostridia, Eubacteriales, Clostridiaceae. The record is from Rfam.